GUAAUAUCCUGCCUGUAGUGUUGACCUUUUUGCAACUCACUUUUUUUUAAAUCUCCAGAUUGCUCAUGCAGAUAAACAUCCUCCCAUUCUGUGAGAAGGUAGAAAGUGAAACCCUUUACCAUCUCUUCCUUCGGUGAUUAAUAAAUAAAUGAACUAUAAAUACAGUGGUUUGAACUUCUCAGAAUAUAAGAGAAAAAUGAGGAAUAAAUCAUCUCCUCACCCAGAGUACCUCUAGCCAAACAACAACAACUCUCCAAAUCUGUUUCAAGAUUCAAGAUUUGAUUUUAAAGCAUAAAAUACACAACCAAAUUCAAAGGAAAGUGAUAAAGACAUCUUCCAGGCCUCCUAAAGGUAUUAUGCAUAUAGGGAAAGGGAAGACUCUAAAAAUUUACUACAUGACUUGAGAUGUACAUCAUGCUUAGCCUGGCAUCUCCAGCUGCUUUUCACUUCUUAGAGACACAAAACUAGAAAUUCAAAGCAAAGAGGUAAAAAGGAAAAAGAGAGGAUGCUAUGGAAAUCAUAGAAUGAGAAAAGCUAAGCUUAGCAUAUCACACAAAAUAUGUUUCCCAUCUUUUGUCUUGAAGAACUGAGCUUGGCAAUAUUUCAAUUCUCACUUUAAUUUUUGAAACUGGAAUUUGACUUUGUUAGUGGAUUUUUCCCUAAGAUUUAGGCAAGUUUUUUUUUUUUUAAUUUAUGUUCUUACAA
Molecule: long non-coding RNA, 705 nt
Filed under: Canis lupus familiaris (dog)
Lineage: Eukaryota; Metazoa; Chordata; Mammalia; Carnivora; Canidae
Description: lncRNA (ENSCAFG00845024933.1)
Source: RNAcentral